This 481-nucleotide ribosomal RNA is filed under the name uncultured bacterium. RNAcentral describes it as "partial 16S ribosomal RNA". It matches the Rfam family "Bacterial small subunit ribosomal RNA", at positions 28 to 507 of the family's 1533-position model. The record is from RNAcentral.
GAUGAACGCUGGCGGCGUGCUUAACACAUGCAAGUCGAACGAAGCAUUUGCGACAGAUUUUUUCGGAAUGAAGUUGCUUAUGACUGAGUGGCGGACGGGUGAGUAACGCGUGGGUAACCUGCCUUGUACUGGGGGAUAGCAGCUGGAAACGGCUGGUAAUACCGCAUAAGCGCCCAAUGUGGCAUGACAUGUUGUGAAAAACUCCGGUGGUAUAAGAUGGACCCGCGUCUGAUUAGCUAGUUGGUGAGAUAACAGCCCACCAAGGCGACGAUCAGUAGCCGACCUGAGAGGGUGACCGGCCACAUUGGGACUGAGACACGGCCCAGACUCCUACGGGAGGCAGCAGUGGGGAAUAUUGCACAAUGGAGGAAACUCUGAUGCAGCGACGCCGCGUGAGUGAAGAAGUAAUUCGUUAUGUAAAGCUCUAUCAGCAGGGAAGAUAGUGACGGUACCUGACUAAGAAGCUCCGGCUAAAUACGUG